Long non-coding RNA from Meriones unguiculatus (Mongolian gerbil), 471 nucleotides. RefSeq lists it as uncharacterized. The transcript has 3 exons. The record is from RefSeq and is a predicted model, not a curated record. Lineage: Eukaryota; Metazoa; Chordata; Mammalia; Rodentia; Muridae.
CGUCCCGGACGUGCUCUGGAAGGGGGCGCGGCUGCCGCCUCUGAGGCCCCAGAGAUCAUCUUGCUGGAAAAUGCCGCUCUGCGGGACCACUGCGUUACUCUUCAGCUGCCUUCCUCAGGACGGCUUCCGGUGAAGCCCCUGUGAAGACGCUGAAGCGUUUGCCAUGACAACCAUGGCGGGGCAAGCCCAACCUUUCUGCCGCGCCGGCACUGGGGAGUGAGGGACCUGGACCAAAGGUACCUGAGGGGACCAGAAGACGGUGUCAGAGCCUCUGGAGCUGGAGUUACAGGCAGUUGUGUUUUGCCUGACAUCAGGAGUGCUGGAAACUGGACUCAGAGGAGUCCUUUCAGACCCCAAAGCUAACACAGUCAAAGGAACCGGAAGCUCAUGGGGCCUGGUAACAUCCGUUGGCUCCAUCUUCCAGAUUGUGUUGGAGAAUCUCAGGCAUCUCCUGGGACACAGAAGAAACCC